CUACGGGCGGCUGCAGUGAGGAAUAUUGGUCAAUGGGGGCAACCCUGAACCAGCCAUGCCGCGUGAAGGAAGACUGCCCUAUGGGUUGUAAACUUCUUUUAUAUGGGAAUAAUUCUGUUACGAGUAACAGGUUGAAUGUACCAUAUGAAUAAGCAUCGGCUAACUCCGUGCCAGCAGCCGCGGUAAUACGGAGGAUGCAGGCGUUAUCCGGAUUUAUUAGGUUUAAAGGGUGCGUAGGCGGACUUUUAAGUCAGUGGUGAAAGUUUGCGGCUUAACCGUAAAAUAGCCAUUGAUACUGGAAGUCUUGAGUAUACAGGAGGUAGGCGGAAUGUGUAGUGUAGCGGUGAAAUGCUUAGAUAUUACACAGAACACCGAUUGCGAAGGCAGCUUACUAUAGUAUAACUGACGCUGAUGCACGAAAGCGUGGGGAGCGAACAGGAUUAGAUACCCGAGUAGUC
RNAcentral lists this ribosomal RNA (458 nucleotides) under uncultured bacterium. RNAcentral describes it as "partial 16S ribosomal RNA". It matches the Rfam family "Bacterial small subunit ribosomal RNA", at positions 339 to 795 of the family's 1533-position model. The record is from RNAcentral.